This 26448-nucleotide long non-coding RNA is filed under the name Arabidopsis thaliana (thale cress). Its description in RNAcentral is "long non-coding RNA (ATHA_LNC000689)". Lineage: Eukaryota; Viridiplantae; Streptophyta; Magnoliopsida; Brassicales; Brassicaceae. The record is from RNAcentral.
AGUCCUUCCCUCCUGUGGCUGGUGGGGUUGUUCCCGGUGGAAGAAUAGGACCUACAAUUGGCAAAGGCGGCAAUGGCAGAUUGGGACCUACCACUGGAGGUAUGGGUAGCCCUGAAAUCGGAGGAAGGGGUAGCUUAGGGACGGUCACUGGAGGAACGGGUAGCUUAGGUACAGUUACCGGGGGAACGGGUAGCUUAGGGACUGUCACUGGAGGAACGGGUAGCUUGGGGACGGUCACUGGAGGAACGGGUAGCUUGGGGACGGUCACAGGAGGAACGGGUAGCUUAGGUACAGUCACUGGUGGAACGGGUAGCUUAGGGAUGGUCACAGGAGGAACGGGUAGCUUAGGGACGGUCACCGGAGGGACUGGUAGCUUAGGGACGGUCACCGGAGGAACUGGUAGCUUAGGGACGGUCACCGGAGGAACUGGUAGCUUAGGGGCUUUAGGGGAGUGCUUUCCGCCCUUCCGUGGGUUGCAAGAGCCGCAUGCGAGAGAAUGUUGGGGGAGAUAGAUAAUGCAAAUGAGGAAGAGGCAAAGAGAGAGAGAUGAGAGUUUGGAGGAGUCCAUGUUGAGUAGAGUGGAUGGUGUAACUAUACGAAAGAGUAUAUGAAUAUAUAGAGGGAAAAUGAGAAGAAGAAUUCACGUGAAGAUGGGGGCUACUUCUGCAAUAAGAAGAGACGCCCCAAAAUAAGCAUGGUUGGCAAUUAUCAUAAGAAUACAAGAUUUCCUUGAUGACCCAUCGCUAUAUAUCAUCACAUGUCGACCACACUUUUUUCACUUUUUUUUUUCUAAGUGCCUCUUGUUCUUGGGUUAACUACAACUUUUAACAACGUGUAACUUCAGUUUCAACAGUACAGUACAUUUAACUUGUAGGAAUUGUAAUGAAUCAACUUAGCGAGACUAGGUCAUUAUGAGAUAUCAUCAAUACUAAAUAACAUUUUGAUGAUGUAAACACUCUAGGAAAAGCAGAUAAUAUAGUAUCAUAUGGUUUUCGCUUUAGUGUGUGGCUUCAUAAGCAUCUCCAUGCAUGAGUCGACUGCUAAGGAACAUAUAGAUCUGCACCAUAGUGAAGACGGCUUAGUCUAUUCAAAACACUAAUGUUGUGCCUUUCGAGGACCUCCCGAGACUCGAAUUCGAAUGCACUCUCCAAAGGUAUUAUGUUAGGGAAAAAACCUUAUUAAACCAAAUAUGUUACUGUUUAACCCAUACACGAAAAUUAGAUAUAUAAAUGUUGAACAAAUAGCAUAUAGUUAUAUCCAAUAUAUACGUACAUGAGAGGUAAAGAAGACAGCAAGACUGACAUGUGAAAUUCGGGAUACACUUUUGUUGUUUGGUGAUUUUGUUACGUAGUGUCAUUAAAGAAACGAUCAUGUGUGCGUGGACCAUCUUCUUCUUUUUACCGCUCAUUUCCCUUUUUACCAUAUCUACUACAAAAGAGUCCGAACUGACCAUUUAAUGAACGAGUACCAUUCAAUUCAUAAACUCCCCGUAUCAAUCUAACUGACACUGUAAAAGUUAUAAUGUUAAUAUAUAAAAAUAAUAUGGUUAUUUAGCAUGAAUAAUAACUUUUUAUAAUUGAGAGUAUGUCUAGCUAACAUUGGUGAUUGGUGCUUACAUAAAUCAUAUUUUUCAAACCACUUAACAAGAACUUUACAUAUUCAAUGAUAAACGAAUCACAUUUAUACAAUAUACCAUUCAAAAAUAAUAUUGUAAGAUGAUUUGAAAUUAAACGAUUGUAAUAUAUAAUGUGUUAAAAGUAAUGUAUUAUAGAUAUCUUGUAAUUAUUUAAAGGGUUUUGUGCAAAAAAAAAAACCACUAACUCAUACAUUUUUCCAAUUUACUAUCCAGCUCUAAUAAAUGCACAUUAAUCCUAUGAAUCUAAAAUAAUACGCAUUGUAACCCUUUUUGACCAUUUUUUGCUACCAUCAAUUUUGUAAAAUAUUGAUAUAUAAUAUGUUAAAUCAAAGCUCUCGCGACCAAGAGUUCAACUCUACCUUUAAAAAUUUUAAAAUGUAAUGUAUGUAACCGUAAAAACGCUUGUAAUAUGCAUAUGAAAUUUAUAUUACAUAUUAUGUUAAACUUCAUAAGAUUAAUCUGCAUUUGUUGGUAGUGCAUUUGUUAGAGGUGGAAGGUAAUGUUGCAAAAAUAGAUGAGUUAAAAGAUUUCUUUUUGCACAAAACCCUUUAUUUAAACUACUAACAAUAUAAUAUAUAAAUAAUUUAAAACAUAUAUCUCUAUAAUUCAUGAAGUAAUAAUGGUGUACCCUAUCCUUACCAACGAAUAAUAAAGAAAUGAUAUUAACUCUGAUUCAAAAGCUAUAUAUAAGAUAUUCUUUUUUUUUCCUCGGGAGGGAUACGAAUCCGGUAACAUGAAUCAGUGUCCAAUAAGAGCCAGUGGUCGUAAAUUCCAAAUGACAGAUGGAUGACUCAUUUUAAUUCGUAACUUUUGUCAGCUGCGAUAUAUGCUAAUGAAACCUGAGGUGCUAGAUUUUGAUUUUAAUGGCUUUAGAUUCUUACUCAACACUCAAUGGCCCACUCGUUAAUCUCUUACCUUCUAAAGUGAGUUAUGAUCCACUGCUUCUUUCUUCUUGUAGAUAGAUGGACCUGUUUUUUUUAGGUUGUGAUUUGUGGACAUUAAUCAACAACCCAUGUUUAUACGUGAUAAUGUCUGGAGCUAUAUGUAAAGGCGAUAUGGAGGACAACAUUCCUCUAUUCUAACUUUAAAAGCCAUGUAGUUAGGGCUGGACACCAAUAUUCUUUUUUUUUUUGCUAAAUUGUAAAUAUCAUUUUGAUGAAAAAUCAGGUUUUACAACAGUUGUAUAACCUAAAACAUUUGAACUCUUUGGCAAAAAAGAAUAAAAAAACGAAGAGCCAAUCGAGAGCUGCAUAGAACUCGGUAGUUUCAUAGCAGCCACAACGCUAUUAACUUGCGAAAAAGGAGUCUGUUUCUUCUUGAGGUGAUAACGUUUUUGAUUUUGCGGUUGAUGCACUUGAAUAUAGAAUGCGGAGAGAGGGAAGUAGCGUUGUGCAGGACAUUGUUAGGCUGCUUCAAGAUGUGGAAGACCUUAGACUGAACGACAAUAAUUUUAAGAACUGAUGAAGCCAAUAUUCAUCAUUUUCAAACAAAAAAUAUCUUUUGUUUGACACCAAUAUCCUUGACCAGCUUCAAACAAAGGAUAUACAUCAUUUUUAAGUCGGGUAAGGCAAAUGAGUAUAAGGAUUCUCAUUACACAUCUGGUUGCCAAAAACUUUUAGUCAAAUACUAGUUACAAUCUCAGUUUUUUACCCCAAACUUUUUGCCACUUAAAAAACUAGGGGUGGGCAUUCGGGUAAGCGGGUCGGGUUCGGGUUCGGGUAAAACCCGAUCAGGUAUAAAGAAGUUUAGGAUCUAAUAGGGUAAAUCUAAAAUAUCGGUUCGGUUUCGAUUCGGGUCCAACCGGGUUCGGAUAUAGAUUUGUGGCCUUUUUUUAUCCAGAUUUUUCGGGUAAAAUUUUGGAUUUCGGAUAAAAUUUAGAUUUUUGAAUAAAAUAUUUGGGUAUUUUCGGGUUCGAGUUUGUUUUUUCGGGUAGAGAAAUUUAGGAUCCAGUAAAGUACAUCUUCGGAUUUGGAUUAAGUUUCAGCUCUAAUUUUUCGAGUUAGUUUCGGUUCGGAUAAUCGGUUCUGGUUUUUUGGCCCGGCUCUAUAGAAAACCAUCAAUAAAUAUUUUAAUCCUAUUUCUGCCUCAUUACUCGAGAAAAUAUUCGACCCGUUUUAUUACUUGAUAAAUUUACAACUAUAUAUUUAUGUAAUCUAUUUCAUAUUAGUAAAAUAUAUUAAAUUUGUUAUUAAAACCAAAUAUCUUUUGAGAUUAGGGCAAUCAAAAGUUAAGGUCAAGCAAAUGUCUCCUUUCUAAAUGUUUUUGUGGGUAACGGUAAAGGACAAAUAUACAGCCCAUGCCCAGACCUACAAGUAGCGACUCCAUUACUACACAGUAAGAUUUUUAUUAAUAAAAAUGUGCAUGGUUUCAUUUAAAAGUCAUUGCUAACACUUCACUUUACAGUAAUAUUCAAUUUCAUACCUUUAAACGUUAAUCAGAAUCGCCAAUUGGAAGCCAGUCACUGGAAUCACCUUCCGAAUCCUUGCUAUGUCCAACUUGGCUCUUGCUGAGCUGAACCCAGCUUGACCCGCUUGCGUUUGAUGCUGGUCUUUUCAGUGUACUCCUGUUGGGACUUGGCUUCUCCGAGAGAUCAUCGACAUCUAAAUCACUAAAGGAGAUUACCUCUUCAUCUCUGAAACUCCUCCGUUGUUCUUCAGAUGACUCAUCACUUAUCUCCCUUUGCUCAAUUUUUAGAGUCUCUAUCUUGUCAAUGACUCCCUCAACGGUUUCUGUUUCCCUACUGCUACCUUCUUCAGGAGUUUCGUGACCAGUAGUGCUCUUGCUUGACCCUGUCUCUUUCUUUUGCAGCUUUAGUAAAAGUUGAUCCCUUGUUUCAAAUACCUGUGCCGCACAAUAUAGUUAUUAAAGUUUCAGAAAUAGGUACAAUAGUAACUUGGGAAAAAAUGCAGAGCAUAAAAGAUAUAAAACAAUCCAAUUUUAAAAGCAUCAGGCAAAAAUACAUUUUUUCCUGAGGCUAUACUUGUUCUUAUUGCAAUCGGUUGAAGGGGUCAUUAUAGCAUAAACGUUUACGAUUUUAAUAAUAUUGGAUCAAUACUGACAUUUCAGAAGAAUGUAUUUCCAGUAUACAGUCUUACCUUGCAUGUUGCUAAGAGUUCAAAAUCAUGCCCAUUCAGUCUCGGCAUCAGCAAAAUAAAAUAAAUCAGCCAGAAGUGUUCAUCAUCCAUGUAACUACUAACUUGAUUCUUCACAGCUACAAGGCCAGGAACCAAAUCUUCAAUGGCUGAUGCAUGUGCCCUUUGAGCCUCAGACAGUUCAAAUUCUGCAAUGUGGACAUGAAAAGUUGGAGAAAAACUUCAGCAUAAUUCAGUAGGUAAAAUUGAUGUAAACCACCAAUGCUUUUUAUCAGGAAGUGUUUCGACAACAUUUUCAAGCAAACCAAGCCUAUAUACAAAAGGUUGUACAGGAUGACGAUAUGCUUCGCAAUAAAAUAAAUAAAAAGAUUUAAGUGGCAUAUGGAUUGAACUAUAUAUAUAUAUAUAUAUAUAUAUAUAUAUCCCAAGAAGAGACUGCAGACCCCGUCAAGUUUAUUCGUAAUUCCUGGAGAUCUAUCUAAAGAACAGGGACUUCAAAAAAAAAAAUUAACUGCAGAAACAAUCAAUCUUGUCCAAACAGGUCUAGAAUAAAACACAUCAAGAGUUAAAGACUGAAGCAUAAUCAUCUUUGGCGACUGAAAACAAGUCAACUAUAUUUCCAAGAACAAUCAUGUUUAUUCCUGCAUGGCUGCAAGUUCGUCGACAAUAUCUUCAAGGUAUGAAAAAUGUGAUCUACAGAGAGUAAUGGGACCCCGAGAUCCUAAAGACCUGAGCUUGAAGAAAUAUAUCCCAAGAGGAGAUGGCAGGACCGGUCUAACCUAAUCUAAAAUACUAGGAAAUCUCUCUAAAGAACACCAGAGGCUACAAGCAAUCAACUGUACAAACAAAAAAAAUAUUUUCCUAAUAAAUCACAGUAAGAAAAUCAUAACUAAACAUAGAUAGUUAGAAACCACCAAUGCGGUGCUUCGACUAUACUUUCAAACUAACAAAGCCUAUAUACUGGGAACAAAAAUAUGCUUGAAGAAAUAUGUCCAAAUAAGCUUAAUCUGUAACCCUAGUGAUCCCACUAGAAAGCCAAUCAACUGUAGAAGCAAUCAAUCUUUUCCAAAUAAAACCUAUUUUAGUAACAAUUAUGUUUGCCUACUGGGAAAAAAAAAAGUCAAUGCAGAGCUUAAGACUAUUGAGAAUCAAGCUUUAUGAUUCCUCUAUUGACUAUACAGGAGCAUUACCAGUAUCGAGUGACAAUGGAAAAUCUGUCCAACAACCAGGUUUCGUCGAGAUUUUAACAGCGAAAUCGACUACUUCUUCAGAGAUUCCAGGAACUUGAUCGUUCAACGGAGAUCUUCUACUACUUUCUCUAUCUCUUAGAUUACUAGGAAAUUGGAGUAAAUUAGAUGCGAAAUUGGAGAAAUUUCCACGAAUCUCGGCUAGAUCGUUGCGGAUCCCGAGAAGACCUAGCUGAGUUGGUGAAUUAUCAGAGGAGAGUCGGCGUUCGUUUACAGGUGGAGAAGGAGGCGGUGCCAGGAAAGCUGCGACGCCACGGAGUAAGGAAGAUAAAUCUUCUUUGACACCGCCAUGAGUUGUGGAAGGAUCGGGAUCGGGAUCGUGAUCGUCAUCGCCGCGAGAUUUGAAGAGCCAAGACAUGGUUUUUGAGUGAGAGAGGUUGGAUUUGGGGUUUUCAGUUUUUUUUGCACGGGGUUACGAAUAGCAAGAGAGAAGAAACGGUACGUUUUAAUACCUUUCCAAAACGCACCGUUUGUUGUUUGUUCGUUUUGAUACCUUCCCAAACGUGAAAUAAACGAACAAUAAUUAUACAAAAUAAACGGAAACAAAACCUACUUUUUAAAACGGGAAAAUAUCGUUUUAUACGUGAUGUUUUUAAGAAUGGUCAUUUUAUAUGUAAACUUUUAGAUCGAUCAAAUAAAAUAUGAUAAAAAUGUUGAUCCGCUAUUUAAACAAAACAUAAAGUUUGCCUGGCCAAAAUUUCCGAAAUGUUAACUUGUAUUAACGGAUCUGAUAACCCUCGUUAGCAGACGUUAGUCGUCUUCCGUUAAUACCAAACGAUUUUUUGUGAUGAGUACAAACCUUAAAAUUCCCAAAUCGAUUUUUCAUUCCCUAAUUCUUCAUAAUCCCCAAAAUUUGAACUAUUCUCGAUAUAUUUUUUUUGAGCUCAAAAUCUCCAUUUUGUGUAGAUAUGAGUUUAAAAAAUUUGAGUGUUCAAGAAGGAGGAAGUGGGAACCUUGGGUUUCCUUCAAAGUGUCAUUGGGGGAGAGAUUUCAUCAUCUAUAUAUCAAGCUCGACGAAGAACCCAAGAAGAUCCUUCUUCUGUUGUCCAACAUAUCAAGAUGUAAGUAGAUUUGAAUUUGUUUUUUUUGGUGUUUGAUCGGUAAAAAGUUGUCGUUGUAAAUGCAGGACCAUUUGUUUAAGUGAGUCGAAGAUUGUGUGUAUGAAGAGGUUGUAGAUGCAAUACUGAUAAUCUCUAUGAUUGAUAGCUAGAUAAACAAUGUCAAAUUUCAGGUUGUAGUCGAGAUUGCAGAAUUAAAGGUUUUGAUCCAAGAAUUGAAGGAAGAUGAAAUGUGGAGCAAAAUGGAAUUGAAGAUAUGGAAAUCGAUGACCAAAUUGUGCUUGGUGUGCCUUUGUAUAACAGUCAUUGCAAUUAUGAUCAUAAUGUUCUAUAAGACCAAAAACCAUAAGCUUGUUCUUGGUUACUAGUGUUUUGUGUUUGUAAUAAAAUGUUUUUAUGGUACUGAAAUGUUUGUUUGGCAAUGAUAAUCAGUCCUAGUGUUUUGUCUUAGUGUUGUGAUUGUAAUGAAAUGCUACUAGAUGCUUGUUUAACAAUGAGAAUCACCAAAAUGAAACUCAUUCAUACAUUAUAAAACUUGUGUCACAAAGACAAGUCGAAACCACAAAAUGAAAUCGAUACUAAGCUUAUGUCAUAAAGACAAAUCCAUUAUGUCAACCACCAAAAAUAAACUUAUGAGAAAGCUUAAGUUCAAACAACAACAAAAAGAAACUUGUGACUAAUCUUGUCUUGAACACUCAAACCAUGAUGCAAAUCCACCAAGUCCUUGUGGUUGAGCAUGUGGCUCAGUUUGUGCUUGUGCUUGUGGUUCUGUUUGGGAUUGUACUUGUGAUGCUCCACCUGUCUCCCUUGGUCUUUCUGAUGUUCCGCCUGUUGCCCUUGGUCCUUGUGAUCGAAUAUGAGAUUGUGAUCCUUGAUGAGGUUGUGAUCCGUGUAUUUGCUCUUGCGAUUCGAGCACUUGAGAUCGUGAUCCUUAAUGAGAUUGUGAACUUUGAUGAGGUUGUGAUCUUAGCACUUGUGAUUCCUCCUAAGUUAAAUAUGACAGUCUGAACAGUUGCAUGAUUAAGUGAGUUGUAAAACAUAUAAAAAAAAACAAGAAUACAAACCUGAUUUAUUCGUGGAUGACCUCUUGGUCUCUUUGGUGGAAUCAGAAUAGUGGCAUUUUUGCAGCUUUGCUUGUUUGCCCUUGUUGAAGGCAGUUAGAGCAUGUCAUGAUUCUCUUUUGCAGUGGCAUCUUGUUCUUAUUUGAAGAAGAAGAAGUCUCAUUUCUUCCUUUUCUCCUAACAUAAUUACUCGGUCUUCCAACAUUUCCUUUUGUCCAUGGUGGUGGCAAAACAGGGAGCCUAUUGGUUUUAGGCCACAAUGGCAUACCUUGGACAAGGCUAAUACCAUCUUUAUAAGUUUUUCGCCAGAUUACCUUUGUGUAAAACUUGCUCACAUAGUCUGCAACUGUUUCUCUUCUUCCUAUUAUCACAGGUGUCGCAUAAAUACAUGGGAUCCCCACCAUCUACCACUUCCUGCGACCACAAGUUCUCUUCUCCGUAUCAACAUAGUAGCUAACACCAUUCACAUCAAUUUGAUACAAAUUGUUUCUGGACAUAUAUCUCUCGCAAUUUCUAACCCCAACUAUCAUUUUCUCAAUCUCAAGAUGGGCUCUCUUUGUGAACCUUGUCUUCAAUUUGUCAGCAAUGAUAUACGUCUUCGUAGUUAUGACCAUGCAUUACCUCUGGAUGUACUCUAGCUAAUCCAACAAAGGCUUUCUCCUAGCCUGUUUAAUAGUCUUAUUAAAAGACUCACACUGAUUAUUGAGGCUGUCAUUGCAACGUGUCCAAUUCUAAAGAAGGCUCUCGACCAUGUCAUUGGACUAGUAAGUUGCGAGUGGCAUGCGCAUGAGGAUUGUAUCUCUUUAGCUCUUCCAUAUUAUUCAUGAACACUUCUUCAGUGUAGCUUCAAAUUGUUUUUCAAAGAGACAUUGUAGUUCUAUCUCAUGGUUGUCUCUCUUCCAAUUGUCCAUUAUAUGCCUUGAAUAUUGUCGAUGCUCAACUUCUGGAAGUAUGGUAUUGAUAGCUUUGACUAGACCCUGUAAAAUAACACAAAAACAUAAGCGUAAACCCUUCAUAAAAGACAUUAAACUGAAGCAAAAGAUGAUAAAAUUAACUGAUUAUUUAUCUGAAAUGAUAACUAGAUGUUGCAUUUCACAGUCCCAAACUAGUAGAGAGCUGUCUCAAAAACCAGUCCCAAUUAUCAUUGUUUUCUAUCUCAACAACUGCCCAAGCUAUAGGAACAAUCCUCUUAUCUCCAUCUCUUCCAACUACAGCUAAAAGGUGACCUUUUACAUCCCAUUUUAGAAAACCCAUCUAUUCCUAUCACAGGUCUACAAGUUCGCUUCCAAGAAUCCUUUUGAGAUUUAAAGCAGAUAUAGCACCAGAGAAAAGAAUCCUUUUGUGAUAUAAAGCAGCUAUAGCAUCAGAGAAACCUUUGCUUGCUUCCAAUAAAAAGCCCUACUGUUGUCUCUAUCUCAAACUCUGUCUCUGGGUUCUACUUUAAAACCUCCGCUUGAUAAUCUCAUAUUCUUGAAAAGUGAUCAUUAUGAGUAGCAUGUCAUGCUUUCAACACUUUGGUCUUGGCCUUUGCACAUUGGUCUGGAGUCACAUCCAAAUUGAAUUCUCUCUGAAUCUCAACAACCAUCUCGUUCUUUGAAAUAUUUGGAUUCACUCUCAGCCUUUCAUCAAACAAAAGUGCAAUGGAAGACCGCUUCAACAUCUUUGAAUAUCCUGACCUAACACAAGUAUGCAUAUAAAAUCUUACUUGCAUCUUAUGUUUUGUCUUCUCAUACGAACAAUAUACUUUCCAACCACAUUUAACACCAUCAACACCAAUUUAUGACCACUUCGCAGCAACAACCAUAGAUUCAGACCCAUAAAGAGAAAUGGUAUACCAUGUCUUUAAAGAGUACAUCAAAAGAACACGCUUGAAGUCGUGUUUAUAUCCUCUUCACCGCGUAAACCACCAUUAUAAUCGUUAUCUCCACCACCAACCACAUCAUCAACGACAUUGCAGUCUUCAUCACCAUACACGGCGCAGUCUUCUUCAUUUUUCAGGGUCAGGCUCAAAUGUAGGUUCUUCAUCCUCCUCUUUUUAAUGUCUGACUCUUCUUCGUUUUUGUUUUCAAAGCCGCUUUGAAACUCGAGCUUUAACUACGAUAGAAGACUCUACUACGCCUACAGCCGGCAGAGCUAGAACUCCGUUAUCAAACUCUAAAACUGCUUCCGCUGGUGGAGCUCGAACAACAUCUUUGGUGUCAUCUUCGCCUCGUGGUGGAGCUUCAUCAUUGUCUAAUUUGCCUUCCAUUGAUACAAUCUAGGACUCCAAGGAUACAAAUUCAAGAUGAAAUCAAAUCAAAAUCGCGAUUUCGCCAAAGUAAGAAUUAGGGAUUUGGUUUUUGGAAAUUAGGGAUUUUGAAAUCAAAAUGGGAAUUUCUGUUUCAGUUUAUGAAACGACAUUGUUUUAGGCAUUAACAGAAAAAAUUAACGUCUGCUUACAGGGGUUAUCGGAUCUGUUAAUGCAAGUUAACGUCUCGGGGAUUUUGGUCAGGUCAACUUUAUGUUUUGUGUUAAAUGGCGGGUCAACGUCUUUAUCAUGUUUUAUUUGGCCGACCUAAAAGUUCACGUAUAAAAUGGCCACUUUUGAAAGUUCACGUAUAAAACGACAUUUUUCCCUUUUCAAAAACCUAAUUUAUUUCGCAUAAUUAUUGUUCGUUUUGAAAAGUAGGUUUUGAUUUAAUAUUAAAUUUAUUCGGGGAAAAAGAAUUAUACAUUUACAAGUAGGAAAAAUGGGUAAAAAAAACCUCACCUUUCCCAAAUACAUUUAAAAAAACCUCAACUUUUUGUAGGUUUUUAAACCCUCACCUUUUCAAAAAUGGUAAAAUAACAAUUAGCAUUAUUAAACCAAAUAAAUACAAAUUAAAUACUAAAUAAACUAUUAUAUUAAGACAUAAAAAACAACAUAAUUUAUAAUCUAUCUUUUCCAAAUUUGAGUUUAGGAUUUUUUUUCUUCUAGAAUUUAGUUGUUUUUUGUGAUAUAAAAAAUAAGUUUCAUUGCCAUUAGAAAUUGGUAUGUAAACUAAAACAAUUUAUAACAUAGCACAUUUUAUUUUAUUUGUGUUCAACUAUGUUCUAACCUUUGAAGUUUUGGAUUUAAAAUGGAUAAAAUUUAUUAACACAAAUUUGAUCUAAACUUGAGUGACCUAAUAUUUGUUCUAAACUUGUGUGAUCAAAACUUUAUUCUAAACUUAAGUGUCCAAACCAAAUAAAAUUUUAUUAAAUAUAUUUUAUAUUUAGUUAUUACAAAAUUAGUUUAGUUUUACGUUGAUGAAUUUCUUGAACUCAACCAAAUUAAUCUUGUUUCAGUUCACUGCAUAUGUAGAAGAAUAUAUAUCUAUAUAUAUAUACAUAUAUCAUACCUAAAAUAAAAUAAUUAUUUUUAUCCAAAAUUUAAUUAAACUUACACUCGAAACAAAAUAAAUAAACUUUGAAUAGACUUUGGAUAUGUUAUCUUCAGUAUGAAACCAAUUGUCUGAACCAAAUUUAAAUUGUUUUCACAUAAAACAUUUUACUAGAAGAAAAUAUUUAAGAGCUAUGUCUUUGGUUAGAUUAGAAUCGACAUAUUUCGUUUUCAAGAUUGUUUAGUGGUAGUUUGUUGUUUUGCGUCAAGUUUUUUUUAAUGUUUUCUUUUCCUAUUUUUGUCGGGUUCAUCUCUUGCUUUUGGACCGGUCAAUCUAUAACUUUUCACCUUUAUAAUAAUAGGUAAAGCGGUUGUGUGACUCUUUCAUUUUCCUCUACUCAAGUUUAAGACUAAAUCUGGUCAAAUUUUUAUUAGACUAGUUAUGAUGGUUUGUUAUAAACCAUUUCACAACUGUUGAAAAAAUUAUUUCCACUACAAUGGUUUAUUGUAAUCGAAAAGUAAGUGAGAUGGCAAAUUUAUCAACACUCAUGAGAGUAGAAGAAAGAAGAUAAGUGUGACAAGUGUUAUAUUUUGAUUGGUUGCUUUUUUUUUUUGGACAAAAGCUUGUUUUUAUUCAAUUAAGAGAGAAACAAGUACAAAGGAACAAGGAUUCUAAGAUCCCAAAGUUUAAAGGACAACAAAGGUAGGCAUUCCCAACACCAUAAGAAGAAAAGCUAACACACAAAUAAGGUACAUCAACAAUGGUUCCAUGAGAGCUAUAAUCCAAACACUUGAAGGGAAUUUGUUACUUUUAAGAUCAAGGAUUGUUGACAAAUCUUCCACGAACAAAGUAGUGGAUGAGAGUAUGGUUACUGUCAAAAGACUUAGUAACGUUAACAAGGGCGCCAAAGACAUGAAUCUCGUCGGGACGAGAAGUACUACACCAAGUAGUGCUUUUGCAAAGGUUCGAACAAGGUUUUGGUAAAGGAAGGAGGAUCGUCGAGGCUUAGAAAGAUUGAUGCGAGACCGUAACAGAACAGGUGGGUCCUCUCUCCCAAGAAGACCAAGGAGAUUAAGGAAUUCCACACAAAGCUUGUAGUCGGUUUGCCACAUGAAGAAAAGGCCAGACAUGAGGAAAUUGAGUAGAUAUCACUUUGAGGCACUAGUCAAUAGGGAGGGAUCUCUCACAAGAGAAUUGAGAAGUUCAUGUUGAAGCUUGAUCCAAACCCGGGGAGUAAUGGUGAAUGGGAGGUUCUUGAAGUUGGUCGAUAUAGUUGUCAGUAUGAAAUACUUUGAUAGAGAGUUUUGGUGACUAGCGUCACAUCUCCGACAGAUUGGACUAAGAAACACUAGACCAUGAAUCUUCAAAACGGAAUCAUAAAACAUUGCCCUAGCUAAACCUAGCACCAAGGUUCUCAGAUAAUAUUUGUAGGAGCAUAUCAACGAGGGUGAUUCGUCAUUCAAGUGGUGUCCCUAACCCCUCAAAAUAAAGAAACGAUGUCUACAUUGGGAUAGACUCGGCAAAUUGCAGAUGGAGGAAUACCUGGAUUUUUGUGAUAAUAGGUUUGGGUCGCAAUUUAUGGGCUUGGGCCGCGAGGGAAAUGGGCCAACAUUGGAGACAGGGCCCAUCAAAGAAAACCCUCGAUUCCAGAUUGUUGGGCAAGGAGCGUUGGGAGUGCGGCGGCUACGGUAGAGAGGUACGAAUUGCACAAUUGAAGCAGACGUCUCUGAUGUAAAUAGAGUUAGGGUGAACAAGCUGCAUGACGGGUCCGGCGCUGAGGCUAUAACAACGGCUAAUGGUUUGGCAAAAGAACGUCGGAGAAGCCUUAGGGAGCCGAAAGGUCCCGCAGAUCUAGUAACGAUGAGGAGGCGGAGACAAGGCUCAGGUUGGAAGGAUUGGUCGCCUAUGAAAUUGAAAGCUUCACAAACUGUUUUCUUUGAUUCGCAAGGUUUGGACAGAGAGUGUAGCUUGCUCGGAGGCCACAUUUUGCCUAUGUCGGAGAAUACUGCUUCAAAGAAGAUUCAACAGCAAAGAAGAACUCGAUAGAUUUGGAUUAAAAGGUUUGCAACAGAAGAAAACUAAAUUACAACGAAGAAGUAGAUGAAAGAUUGAGGAAAUAGCUCGAGAGAUGAGAGGGAGGUUCCGAUGCCGGCGAGCAUUUGCUCCACCGACGUCGGAAAGAUGAAGGGAGAUAGUUUCCUCGAUAUUAGUGUCUAUUAGCUCCACCGACGUUGAAAAGAUGAAGGGAGAUAGUUUCCUCGAUAUUAGUGUCUGGGAGAGAAACUCUUUAAAAUCUUAGUCUCGCAAAAAAUUUGAUUGGUUGCUUUGAUUUCUAUAUUUUUUUUCUUAAUUACAUAACUUUAAUUAUUUCAUAAUAUUUAUAAAUAAACAUAUCAAAAUUUACAAUUUUUCAUUCUCUAUAAAUAAACACUAUCUUCAUUUGAUUUGGACAAAACAAAAAUAAUCUUUCUUUAGAAAAAAAAAAGUUUAGUCUCCAAUAAACUUUUGUUUUAGCUUUAAAUAUACUUUUAUCUAAAUGGAUCCAAACAAUAACCUUUCAACACCCAAAACUUUUCUAAUUACUUUUAAACUAUCCAAAUCCCAACAAUUAUUAGUUGCAGGUGUGUCAGAAGGACAUUGAACGAGCAUUUGGAGUGUUGCAGGCUCUAUUUAAAAUUAUUCGCGAACCAGCUCGACUGUGGGACAUAGCCGAUUUGACUAUCAUCAUGAGGUCGUGUAUCAUAUUGCAUAAUAUGAUUGUUGAUGAUGAACGACAGACGUAUACUCAACAUUGGACUGAUUAUGAUCAAUCUAAGGCAAGUGGGCCGAGUACAUAACAACCAUUCUCGACCAAAGUGCUACUUGUAUUUGCAAAUCAUCUGCGUGGUAGAUCCAAGUUGCGUGAUUCAAAUGUACACCGCAAAUUGCAAGCAAAUCUAGUCAAACAUAUAUGGGCACAAUUUGGAAUUUUCCAUGGUGAAUGAGAUUUUUAAGUUUGUGAGUUGAGAUUAAUAUACUAAUUAAGUUACAAAUGUUUCCUUACUUGUUGUGUGCGUAUUGUAUUGCAUUUUAAAUCUAUGUUCAUUGUAUGUGUUUUAGUAAUGAUUAUUUUUAUUUCUAGUUUUUAUUAUUUAUAAAGUUUUUUUAAAAAAUAUAUACAAAUAUUAAAACAAAAACUAUUUUAUAAAAUUUAUUUAAUAUUUAAUUAUUUAAAUUUAAUUUAAUAUUAACGGUGAUUAAUAAUAUUUAAUCACAAAAAACAUAAACAUAAAUAAAAUGAAAAAUAUAAAAUAAAAAUUGUGGGAUAAGGUGUUGUAAUUUUAUCAAACAAAACUAUUGUAGAGGGAAAAAAUUAUGUAGGUGUGGAAUAACGAUGUGGAAGAGAGAGAAAACGAUGUGAAGUGUUAAAAGGGAAAAAAAGGGUGUUGUAAAUGGGUAACCAUUGUAGAUAGUCUUAGGAAGUGAAUGGUGACUUUAAGAUUUGCAGAUUUCGAAAGAAAAAGAAAAAAAUGCACUAAUGUCACCAAUCAGACAUAUGUGUGUAAUUUGUUUUUUUUUACAGAUAAUUUGGCACACACAUUUCAAAGCAUGUUAAUACACUAGGGAUAAAAGAAACACACUCUACUAUCGUCCAAGGGAUAUUUGGCAGCGCUUAACUAAAAACUUGCAUUACACAGUAAGUAAUAAAUCAAUUAUUUAAUUAAUAAUAAAAUGUACCUAUAAAUCAGAUCAUGUACUCUAAAACUAUUCACACAUUACAACCAAAAACAACAUCCUCUCAUAUUUCGCUCCAAUCCAAAAGAAAAAAAAAACAAUCUCCCACCCUUUCGUCAUAUAUUACAACAUUUAAAUGUAAAUUACUUUUACUAUACUAGUAUAAUAAUUACUUAUAACAAAAUAUUUCUAUGUAAUUAAGGUCUCUUUAUAAAUAAAUAGGACUGAAAUUAAGUAUAUAAAAUUGUUCAAAAUUUAGUAAAUCAUAAAAUGUUAUAUUUAUGUACAUAUUUAUAUGACUAUGUUUUAUUUUUAUAUUCAUAACAUCAGUAUUAAAUUUUAAUCAAAUCAUAGAAAUUUUUAAAUAUGUAUAAUAAAUGGUUGUGAUAGUAUUUACUAAUCAAGAUGUAUAUAUAUUUAUUAAAAAGAGAAAGGAAAAUUUUGAAGAUAUACAAAAUUACUAUUUUUUUAAAUUAUAGUUUAGUAUAUUUAUAUUAGAUGGUAAUAUGAUAUUAUGAAUUUUUUCAAAACUUAAUUAAAUCAAUUAAUUUAAUCAUAUCAAAAGUUACUUAAAUCAAUUCAUUUCCAUCAUUAUUAAAUUUUAAACAAAUCAUAGAAAAUUAAAAUAUGAAAAGAAAUGGUUGUGAUAGUACAAUAAAGUGAUUCCGAGUUCCCUUUGCCUCCGUCGGAGAAGUAUUAUCUAGUUGAUUAUGACUACCCAAACAAAUAAGGAUUUCUAGUUCCUUAUAGAUCGUCAGGAAAUCGAGUUGUGAGAUAUCAUAUGUCUCAAUUUUAUUUUGGUCCUCCUCCUAGAAACAAACAUGAACUAUUUAAUAUGUCAUGCAUCUUUACGUUCUGUUAUCGAGAGAACUUUUAGAGUUUCGGAAAAGAAAUGGAGGAAUCUUUUUCAUUUUCCUAGAUAUAAUAUUCAUAUUCAAAAAAGAGUGGUAAUGGUUAUAGUGUGAUUACAUAAUUUUAUCAGAAUUUCAAACUUCUCAGAUGUAGAUUUUCUUGAUGUAAUGACAGAGACAAAUAUAAACUACAGAGAUUAUGAUCAUCAUUUAGAUGACAUAGAAGCAACAGAGAUAACAAAUGGAGAACAUAUGAUGCCAAUAAAAGACAAUAUUGCAAAUAUGUUAUGGCAAAAUCAAAAUAAUAUAAAAUAUUUUUUAAUGUUUUUUAUGAUGAAAUUAGUUAAGGCAUGUAACAAUAUGUAUGUUACAAAAUUAAAUUUAUAUUUUGAUCAAUUUUUGUAUUAGUGGUUUAUAAAUAUCUGUUAUUGUUUAUUUAUUAACACAAAAAAUUAAUUAAUUAUUAAUAUAUAUAUAUAUAUAUAUAUAAUUUAUAAUUCGCACCGCAUGUAGUUUUUUCACCAAUCAAACAUUAUUUUGUACCGCUUAUUUUGAAUAAACCGUACUUAUCCCGCAAAUAUAUUUCUCCUACACGAACCGCAGUUUAACCGUACUACACUUCAAUAACGCUUUCCCCGCACUAUAAAAACCACGGUUACCAUUCGGACCCUUAGAGCUUGUUUAAAAAAUUGCUAGGCGUUAACCGGGCAUUCGGGGACUUAUCGAUAUUAGUUUUUAACAUUUUAAUAUUGAUAUAUACAUAUAAAUUAAAUAUCGGAAUAUAUGACAAUGGAAUUAAUUUGGUUGAGUGUCAUCUUUUUUUAUUUGGAAAUUGCACAAUCUAUACUCUGAGGAGUCGUUAUUUAGGUUCCCAAAAAAGCAACUGUUUGGCUGGUACUGUGGAUGUGGAAAUUGCGCAUGUAUGAAAAUAUAUUGUGUGAGACGGCUUCAUUAAAAUCUUAUUAGAUUAUUAUUGUUCUUCGCAUGUGGUUUUUGUUUUCUAUAUGUUUUUUAUUUAUUGAUUUAUGGGGAAACCAAUCAUCAUCAUCAUUUCCCUUCCAAUACGGAGAGCUUGGCAAUGCGAAAGAUUUGGAUGGCAAAUGUUUGGUAUAAAUUUUUCGACCCGUUAAUAUUAUAAUCUUGAUAUUAUUUUUGUUAACGUCAUUAAUCUUUUGCAGACGUAUGUGGAGCCUAUCAUUUUCCCUGACGUGGAGAUGAACCCGAAAGAAGAUUUAACCUGGUCUGACGAUGAGGAAGAUGUGAUGGGUUGAUAAUAUCGUCAUGUUAGUUGGUAAAGGGAUUACUUUUCAGCUCCCUCCAUUCUGAUUUGCCAACUCCUACAAAUGCUAAGGUUAGUUAACUGAUAUUUAUUUUAUAAUCGUUGUGUUUAGUAGUUUAGCAACUAAGUAUUAUAUGUGAGUAGCUAUAUUUUUUCUUUAUUUUUGUAGCUUUUUUGCCUCUGUUUCAGAGUUUUCAAUUAUCUCCAAGAUGUUGCAGGUAAACAAAUCUGUUGAGGUCCUUGAUCAUCGAGAUGAAGAACCGGUUUAUUUAUUUACACUCCAUUUUUGUUUAACUUUACUGUACAUUUUUGUUAACCCCCUCCAUAUUUUAUUAGCCGGUAAGAUUGUUAUCAUUCAUUUUCUUUUUAAUUAUUUUAUUCUGUCUUGCAGACCAAAAUCAAUCCUUCAAAAUUAACCACUACAGUCGAGGAAGAAAAGGAUUCUAAGGAGGUUAGAUAAUUCUUCCUUGUUUUUAACUUUCAUUUGGUUAAAUCCUUAACCGGUGAUAUAUUGCAUGUUUCAAUUUUAGGAUUUUACCACUCCACCCCUGUCAACCCAGUCUCGCUCUAACGUGAAGGUUAUCUUCUAACUAUGAUGUUAUCGCUUAUUGUUUAUAUUCAUCUUCCACGUUUGUAGGAUGUGGUGUGCCCUGCAAGUGUGUAUGCGGAUUAGCUGUUAAAAAAAAUAUUUCCAAGACGCAAGAAAAUUCGGGCUGCCCCUUCUUCCGCUGUGUAAGCAAAAGAGACGUGAGUUAUUUCCUCUCUAAAAACGAUGUUAUUAGCUUUUCUGGUAGCUACACGUUUUGCUAGUUAACCUAUCAUUCUUUUUGUAGGGACAUUUGUUUAAGUGGGUUGAGGAUGUUGUAUAUGAAGAAGUGGAAGAUGCAUUGGUUAGACUUGUAUCGAUUUAAAAUGAGGUAAAUGAUUAAAAGCGCAGGUCAUCCAGUUUUGUGUUGCUAUAAAAGAGUUGAAGGCAGAUUCAGUGUCCGACCAGUUGGUGAUGCUUAUGUUGAAAGUGGGCUUGCUUUUCAGAUUUGUCUUCUCUCUUUUUGUAGCUUUUGUUAUCGCAACACUUCUUAAAAUAGUCGAUAUUAAGUUCAUUAGUAGUUUUUAAUGUCUAUCUUUGUAAUGUUUCAUAGUUUCUAUAAUUCCCUAUGUUUAAGAUAUUAUAUUUGUUAGUCGUUAACCAUGUAAUAUAUACCUUGUAUCAAUCUUCUGUCUAUAUAAUAUUUUAUAACUUCUCAUUUAUUUCUUUAUUUUUGUACCAUUUGCACAUUCUUUAGGCGAUAUUUAUAACCAUUUUAAAACUUAUCUUUUAUUUUAAUUUUUUGGUAGCAUUUUCACAUUUAUUAAGCGAUAAUCUAAUUCUUAGCCAUCCAGCUGUGGUCCUAUCUUCUUAUUUUAGGACGCUAGUUAUCUUUUUUCUUAGUAUUGCAAAUUUUAAGAAGAGGGUCUAUAUCUUGGUACAUAUUUUGUUACAGAAUAUCAUUCAACAUAAACAUAUAUUUAACAUUCAGAAGGAAGGUUUGUUGGGAUCGUCCCUGAUUGCAGAUAAUACACAUUUUUUGGAUCAGUAAUUGUACGUAUAUACAUUGAAAAUUUUCUGAUCUCCGAAUUCUUGUUAUUUAUAAAACAUGACUUCUCGCGAGUCUUCUAAGCACGGAACCAUCCGUUCAAACCCUCCCAUAGUCCAAAAAAACAGUCCUCUCCUUCCAUCUUCAUCCGCAAAAAAAAAAUUUUCCUCGUCGCUUACUUGCCUCCAUGUACCACAUUAAUUUUUUGAUUAGCAGUCAUUUUUCUUUUUAAUCAGAUAACACCUACUUUAUCGACACUAGUUUCUUCAUACACCAUGGUAAAAGUUUUGUUAUCGGCUGCUUUUUCAAAAAAUGAUAAGGAGCUAUAUAUAUAGAUAGCAAACCAAAGAAAGUUGCCCUAACUACACACCUGAGACUUAAAUGCUCUAUGUUUCUAUCUUCUUUCAAUAUUUAUCGUUUGCAGUGGUUUAUAUGUUAGUUGUUUCAGUUCUUGUUGUUGCAGUAAUGUCGAUAUGGAGAUAAUAAAUAGGCAAACAUCUAUCUUCCAUAUCUGCACAAUCGAUUAUGUAUCAUAUGUAAUCAUUACUUUUUACAUUUUUUUAUUAGUUUGACCAGGGGGCGCAAUAUCUUCGAAGAUUACAGAGCAUUUAAUGCUCGUGAUCUUGCGGAAGGAGACUAGUGAUCCUCUGCUUGUAUAGGAACAAUUAUGUCAUAUUUAAUUUGCAAGAAAAUUUUCACCUAAAUAACGAAAUGAUAUGUAUAGAUCCUUAAUUAUUUUCUCCUGUAGGUAUAUAUAUUUCAUUCACUCUUUUUAGUUUAAUGAAAUAGUAAAUGACAAUAUUAUCCUCAUCUUAUUCUUUAGAUCUUAGCGACUGCAACCCUAAUUUUUGUCGUAUCGUUUUUCACAAUUCUUAUCAUUUUUUCUUACCCUUUAAUGAUUUAUACCCAAAUAUAAUAGAUCUACAACCUAAAGACCGAUUUAAAACUUGUAUUUCUUUUUAAAAAAUGAGUUUUUCUAAGAGUUUUCAAUUUUUUUUGGCGAUUUCAACAAAUCGAGGCGGUGGUGGUCUGAAGAGCGCUUAGUUGGACGAGUAAUCGGUUAGACGACCAAUUUUUAGAACAAGGGUCUUGACAAUCCACAAUGCAAGUGUUGAAUUAUUUAUUCAAUUGUUGAACCUUCACAUUGCACAUGUUGAAUAGUUUAAAAAAUCUUACGUGGAUUCAACUUGGUUGAAAGUAUUCAAUAUGUUAUAAAGAAAAAAUUUGGGCCCGCGCAUGCCACAUGUCAAUAAAUGAGUAAAGGAUGUGUUUCAAACUCGGAGAAAGGAGAGCGUAUUGUCCAAACCUUUUUCUUUUUACUUUUAUUUUUUUUUGCAAAAAGAAGAGAUUAUUGAGAUGCUCACACUUGCUAUAUUUUCAUUAGAUAUUAAGAUUUUGGAGAUUUUAUUUCUAUCUUAUUUAUUUACAAUCAAUUAUUACAUACCAAACAAUUUUUUUUUAAAAACUUAUAUUUAUAUGAAAAUUUAUAAAUUUUUAAACUCUAGAAAUAGAGACUUAGUUCAUUUUAUUUGGACACAUAAAAAAUAUUAUUUCUACCAUAAUUUUCUUAUUCUUCUCCCAUAAACUCUUGGUUAUAUCCUUUUUUUUUAUGGAUUCUAAUAAAAUCCCUAUGCAAAAUUAUACUAAUUUUUCCUUUCCCUAUCCUAAUUCCAACAAUAAUCCUACGCAAAAUUCGACUAAUUACGUUUUUCCUUAUCAAAAUCCCAACAAUUAUCAAUUUCAAAAUCUAUCUUUCAACCAACCUCAAAAUUUCCCAAAUUAUGAUUUUCUACCAAAUUUUUCUAUGCUCUCAUCUGUUCCAAACUAUAAUUCAUAUUAUAGAUCGAUUCCAAAUUCAUCUCAACCACCUCUUUAUGAUUUGAGGUUGUGAUUUUCAUUGACAUCAAAAAGAAAAAAAAAAAAAAUAUCACAGAAAGGAGACAAUGAAUAUGAUUAAUAUUUAAUUGGUAAACUAUUAGAUUAGGCGGGGGUUUUCUCAAAAAUUGUCUCUUUUGUAGGACUGUUGUCACCAAUAUUUUCAGUAUCUUUUACUUUUAUUAAUUUUUAAUAAAAUUUAUGAUAAUAAAAAAAAUGAAAAUAAUCGUAAAUAAAAGAAAAAAAGAGAGUUGUGGGUUCUUUCUUUUUAGUUACCCACGCAUCGCUGUCGAAAGAUUAAUUAUGAAAUCAGAUGUUUGGUUGAGUAUAAUAGUAAUGCAUGUCAUUAGUUUAAAUUUAUAAUAUUAAACAAAAUUAUAAAUAAGAUAUUUGAACAAAACAAAAUUAAGUUAGUUUAAACGUUAAUUGGAAACCAAAUAAGAGAUCUGUUAGGAAAAAAGAAAAUAUAUACCAAAUAAGAGAUACAGGAAAUCAGAAAUUUUAAUAUUAUGUGUUUGAAUCUUCUCACCAAAAAAAAUUAUGUGUUUGAAUCUUCUCACCAAAAAAAAUUAUGUGUUUGAAUCUAAUUGAUUAAUGGACACGGUCUAGUAAAUUAUAAUUUUUUUGACCCGCGAAAUAUAGUGAAACAGAGUUUAUCUCUAUACAACAAGACAAAAAAGAAGUUCUAAGAUCAAACUCUGUUUGAUAUACAAAAAUUAUAUUGUAAAUGAAAAUGGAACUUUGAGAUUGAUCUACAACAAGUCUGCUACACUCAUCACAAACGUAAUGUGAUUAUACACAUCCACGUUGGCCGCAAAAACUAAGGAUCUUGUAUCAUCUGGAUCAACAGACAAAAUCAUAUUGCAAUAGUCAGCAGCAUCACGUGCGAGACUAAGGUCGUCAUCAGUCUCAUCAACAUCACCAUUGCCCAUUGACCGCUGUGCCUUCAUUAGCCCCUCGACAACAGAAUCUUUAUAGUUCUCCAUACAACUCUUGAAACAUGGCUUCUUAGGAGAACCAAUGAGAAACUGUGUGUGCUCUGCCUUCUCCAUGGCUAGAGAAAGAGCCGCCUUAGCCAACUCUAAUACAGUCGAUGCGGAUUUCGUGCGAUGAUCUAACGUUAGGGAUUUGAUACAUUCUUCUUCUAGGGACGAGAAUGACGCGGUGCCUUUACAAGCCUUUGAUAUCAGUAAUGAUGGAUAUGGACAUGUCUUUGGUUUGGUUGAUAAAUGGGUAGCAAUGUUGGAUUUUGCAUUGGUAUAUGGCCACCGCGAGAGGAGAAGGAAGGUUAGGAUAUGGAUUGAUAGGUAUGCAUGAGAAGCAUAUAAACAAACCAUCGUUUUAUAUGUUCAACAAAGCUUGUUCUUUGACUAUAGGUUUAAAUGAAAUAGUAGAUUGAAGUUUGUACAUAUAUUAACUUUUGUUGUGUCAAUGGUUUAAAUUGUCCAUUGUUUAGUUCCACAAGUUUUAAACAUGAUAUGUUAUUUAUAGGUUUGGAAUGAACGAUAGAGGAAAAAUAAACUUGUCAACGCUAAUAAUAAAAGAGUGUAUCGAAAAAGAGAGAAAAAAACAAAAAUUCAUUGUGAUUCUUUUGUUAUUUUGUUUUUCAAUGAUUCAAUUCAAUGUCUUAAUUUCUCUCCUAACAUAAAAGUUAGUUAUGGGCAUUCGGUUAUCCAGUUUCGGUUCGUUUCCAUUCCGUUAUCGUUCUUUCGGUUCUAGAGUUUAGUAUCCAUUCAGUUAUUUUGAUAUUUCGGUUCGUUUCAGUUCUUACAGUUCUAAAAUUUAAUAUACAUUCGGUUAUUUUGCUUUGAGUAUUUUUGGAUAUUUCUGUUAUUUUUAUAUUUUUGAGUAUUUUUACUAUUUAUAUAUACUUUUUAGUAUUUUUAAUUAUUUAGUCUAGAAAUGACUAGUAUUUUUGAAAAUAUAAUUAUAUUUCGGAUACUUUUGGUUAUCCAAAAUAUUUCAGUUUGUAUCCACUCGAUUUCGGUUCUUUUGGUUAUAGAAUUUUAAUAUCCGUUAGGUUAUUUUCAAAUUUUCGGUUUUGCUCCGUUUUUUUACAUCGGUUGCGGUUCGGUACAUUAGGUUCGUUUUAUAUGCCCAAGCCUAAUAAAAAUCAUGUUCAUUUUGGUAUUUAUAGCUUUAGUAGACACAUGUUUAGUAAAACAAAUUCUCAAACAAGAAGAUUUAUGGAAUACCUUGUAAGACUACUUAGACUAGUUACAAUGGUUUGGUGGUGAAAAAAACAUUUCCACUACGAUGGUGUGCUGUAAUCAAAGCUAGGUGAUGUGGCAAAUUUAGUAUUGAUAAAUAUCAAUACCCGUGAAAGUAGAACAGAGAAGAUAAGUGUGACAAGUGUUAUAUUUUGAUUGGUUGCUUUGAUUUUUAUUUUUUUUGUUUCAUCUCAACUAUAUAACUUCAAUUAUUUUAUAAUAUUUGUACAUAAAAAUAUCAAAAUUUAUAUCAAAAUUUCUAAUUUUACAUUCUCUAUAAAUAGAGACUAUUUUCAUUUGAUUUGGAUACAGAAAAAAAAACUAUUUUUAGACCCAAAAAAGGUAUAAUCGCCAAAAAAAAAACUUUUGUUUUACCUUUAAAUAUCUUUUUAUCUAAGUGGAUCCAAACAAUAACCCUUUCAACACCCAAAACUCUUCUAAUUACCCUUUUAACUAUGCAAAUCCCAACAAUUAUCAGUUUCAAAAUCAAUCUCCUAACCAACCCCAACAAUUAUCAGUUUCAAAAUCAAUCUCCUAACCAACCCCAACAUAUAUCAAAUUAUGGUUAUCCACUAAAUUUCUUCAUGCCGUAAGCUGUUCCAAACUAUCGUCCAUUUCAUGGAUCGAUGAUGUCUUAUCCAUCUUAAACACCUCCUUAUUUUCCUACUCCAACAGGUAAUGAAACUGAUUCGAAUCUUGGAGCAACUGAUUUUCCCGAGUUUUCUACCCAAAUGGCUCUUGGUGGUAUUAGGGUAUUCAUGAAGCCAUUCCAGAUGCAAAGGAUUCAACUCCUUCUCGUCGGAGAAGUCCCAAAUGGACCACUGAUCAAAAUUUGGUUCUCCUGAGUGGGUGGAUUAAAUUUGGAAGAGACAGUAUUAUUGGCAAAAACUAAAAAUGUGAGUCAACUGGGGUAAAAUUGCUGAAUAUUGUAAUGAACAUUGCUCAUUUGAUCCUCCCCGUGAUGGAGAAGCAUUCAGAAAUCACUAUAAUUAUGUGAACAAAAGCGUGAACAAAUGGGCUGGCGCUUAUGAUAACGCUAAAUGUAUGCAACAAAGCGGGUGGUUGGAGGAUGAUGUAUUGGUAAAAGCGCAUGAAUUAUAUUCAAGUGCUGGUAAAAGAAGUUUCAAAUAGGAGGAAAUACUUAUUCUGGAAGCAGUGGAUCUAAAAGAGCCCACGAGAGUGAUGCUAGUGACUCAAACUCUGUAGGAUCUAGUGCUCGUCCAAUGGAAAGAGAUGCUGCUAAGAAAAAGCUAAAAAAAAAGGUAAAGGCGCAGCGUUGAAAGUGGUCAACGAAGAGUCGAACGAAUUUUAACAAUUCAAGGCACAAGAGUUGGAUAGGUUGGAGAAAAUAACUAUGAUGCACAGUGAAACAAACCAAUUGAUUAAGGAAAAGACUCAUGCUAAAAAGAUGAAGAUGUUUAUAGAGCUAACUGAAAAAGAGAAUCUCGAUGACAAGAGCAAAAAGCUAUUGCAACAAUUGAGCCACGAUCUAUUUGGAAAUUAAUUAUUGUCAAGUGGUUAUCUGUAUUUUGUCACUUCAUGCUUUAACGUGUGUUUGUCACUUUCUCCUUUAAUAAUUUGUAUUGUCAUGUUAUGCUUUAAUAAUGUGUGUUUGUCACUUUCUCCGUAAUUUGUAUUGUCUUCUAUGCUUUUUUUUUUUGUGCGAAAUAUUGUCUUAUAUGCUUUAUUAAUAUUAUCCAUGAUUUUAAAUAGAGAAUCUUAUCUUAUCCAUGACUUUUGGUUUGAAGCACUCAAUUCGAAUCCAAGGCACCAACAAUUUAAUUCGUUGUUUCCAUUUUUUUUAUAAAUUAGAACUCAUUCUUCCAUUGAUGUACAAACCAUAAAUCUUACCUUACUAAAAAUCUCAAUGGAUCCAUCAGAAUAUCCUUUUGACAUCAAAGCUUACAAGAGGCAGUCUGAAAUUGAAGAGAUGUAUAUCAUCAAUCGGUUUAGGGAGCGUCGAAACAAAAUAGGGGAAGACUAUCCACCUCGUAGCAAGAGAAAAUACUUUAAAAGAGACCAUGCAUCAGCAAAAUUAAAGAAUAUUGACGACUACUUUGCCAAUGAACCUAUAUAUGACGAUGCAAUGUUUCGUCGGUGAUUCCGGAUGAGAAAACAUAUUUUCUUUCGGAUCGUUGAAGACUUAUCAAACAGCGACAACUAUUUCACCCAACGAUAUGACGCAGCCAAGAAAGAAGGUAUAUCUCCAUUACCAAAAUAUACUACGACCAUGCGAAUGUUUGCAUAUGGUGUGGCAGCUGACGCGGUGGAUGAAUACAGUAAAAUUGGAGGUACUACUACUUUAGAGUGCUUGCGAAGAUUCUGUAAAGGAAUCAUAAAGCUGUAUGAGACAGAGUAUCUCAGAGCCCCAACUCAAGAUGACCUCCAAAGAAUUUUACGUGUUAGUGAGAUGCGAGGGUUUCCCGGGAUUAUUGGGAGUAUUAAUUGCAUGCAGUGGGAAUGGAAAACUUGUCCUACAGUGUGGGAAGGUCAAUUUACUCGAGGAGAUAAGGGAACCACCACUGUUAUUUCUGAAGCAGUUGCAUCUCAUGAUCUAUGGAUCUGGCAUGUUUUUUUGGAUGUCCGGGCACACUAAACGAUAUAAAUAUCCGUUCACCGGUGUUCGAUGAUGUUGAACAAGGAAAUACUACAAGAGUGAAUUUUUUUGUGAGCCAACAUCCGUAUAAUAUCGCUUACUAUCUAGCUGAUGGUAUUUAUCCUUCUUAUCCUACUUUCGUCAAAUCGAUUAGGCUACCUCAAAGUGAACCAGACAAGUUAUUUGUACAACGUCAAGAGGCGUGUCAUAAGGACAUCGAACGUGCAUUUGGAGUGCUGCAAGCUCGAUUUAAAAUCAUUCGUAAACCAGCUGGCCUGUGGGACAUAUUCGAGUUGGCUAUCAUCAUGAGAUCGUGUAUCAUAUUGCAUAAUAUGAUUGUUGAGGAUGAACGAGAGACAUAUGCUCAACACUGGACGGAUUAUGAUCAAUUUGAGGCAAGUGGGUCGAGUACACAACAACCAUUCUCGACCCAAGUGCUACUCCUAUUUGCAAAUCAUGUGCGUGAUAGAUCCAAAUUGCGUGAUUCAAAUGUACAUCACGAAUUGCAAGCAUAUCUAGUCAAACACAUAUGGGCACAAUUUAGAAUGUUCUUGUUGUCUGCUUAUUGUAUUUUUGUAUUUUAAAUUUGUGUUCAUUGUAUGUGUUUUAGUAAUAAUAAUUUUUUCUUCUCGUUUUAAUUAUUUGUAAAAGUUUUUAAAAAUAUUAUAUAAAAUAAAAACAAAUAUAAACACAACAAUACUUUAUAAAACUAUUUAAUGUUUAAUUCUUUUAAAUUUAAUUUGAUAUUAACGAUGGUUAAUAAUAUGUAAUCACAAAAAACAUAAACAUAAAUAAAAUGAAAAAUAUGGAAUAAAAAUGGUGGGGUAAGAUGUUGUAAUUUUACUAAACAAAAACUAUUGUAAAGAUAAAAAUUGGGUAGGUGUUGAAUAAUGAUGUGGAAGAAAGAGAAGAUG